UAUGGCUCAAUGGUAGAGCACUUGCCUAGUAUGUAUGAGGCCCUGAGUUCGAUUCUCAGUA
Molecule: transfer RNA, 61 nt
Filed under: Ictidomys tridecemlineatus (thirteen-lined ground squirrel)
Lineage: Eukaryota; Metazoa; Chordata; Mammalia; Rodentia; Sciuridae
Description: Spermophilus tridecemlineatus (thirteen-lined ground squirrel) tRNA
Rfam family: tRNA
About the family: Transfer RNA (tRNA) molecules are approximately 80 nucleotides in length.
Source: Rfam by way of RNAcentral